ACUUUGUUUUGCAUUGUAAACGCCUUUUAAAUGACUGCACCCGACGUUUGUUGUCAAAUAAUCCAGGACCUGAUGUCCUUCUGUCAUCAUUAAAUAGAAUUGAAACCAUGCAUAGGAGUCUGGAGUGGCAAGGGGGAGGCUUAUAAAUGCUCAGGCUGCAGAUGAAAUAAAUAGUUGUGUACGA
Myxocyprinus asiaticus (Chinese sucker) is the source of this 184-nucleotide long non-coding RNA. RefSeq lists it as uncharacterized. The record is from RefSeq and is a predicted model, not a curated record. The transcript has 3 exons. NCBI's taxonomy places the organism in Eukaryota, Metazoa, Chordata, Actinopteri, Cypriniformes, Catostomidae.